GGGGGGGGGGGGGGGGGGGGGGAGGAGGGGGGGGGGGGAGGGGGGGGGGGGGGGGGGGGGGGGGGGGCGGGUGGGGAACGGGGGAGUAGCAAGUGAGUAAGGUGCCCUGGAGGUGGGGAAAACGUCAGGAAACUGGGGCUAAUGCCGGAUAGGAGCUCCUGCUGCAGUGUGGGGGUGGGGAGGUUUCGGCGGUUUGGGAUGGCCUCGCGGCUUAUCUGCUUGUUGGUGGGGUAGUGGCUUACCAAGGCUUUGACGGGUAGCCGGCCUGAGAGGGUGACCGGCCACAUUGGGACUGAGAUACGGCCCAGACUCCUACGGGAGGCAGCAGUGGGGAAUAUUGCACAAUGGGCGGAAGCCUGAUGCAGCAACGCCGCGGGCGGGAUGACGGCCUUCGGGUUGUAAACCGCUUUCGCCUGUGACGAAGCGUGAGUGACGGUAAUGGGUAAAGAAGCACCGGCUAACUACGU
RNAcentral lists this ribosomal RNA (467 nucleotides) under uncultured bacterium. Its description in RNAcentral is "partial 16S ribosomal RNA". The stretch from base 64 to 467 matches the Rfam family "Bacterial small subunit ribosomal RNA", at positions 39 to 506 of the family's 1533-position model. The record is from RNAcentral.